This 470-nucleotide ribosomal RNA is filed under the name uncultured Parasegetibacter sp. RNAcentral describes it as "bacterial SSU rRNA". It matches the Rfam family "Bacterial small subunit ribosomal RNA", at positions 28 to 488 of the family's 1533-position model. Lineage: Bacteria; Pseudomonadati; Bacteroidota; Chitinophagia; Chitinophagales; Chitinophagaceae. The record is from RNAcentral.
GAUGAACGCUAGCGGCAGGCUUAAUACAUGCAAGUCGAGGGGUAGCAGGUCUGUAGCAAUACAGAUGCUGACGACCGGCAAACGGGUGCGGAACACGUACAGAACCUUCCUUCGAGUGGGAGAUAGCCCAGGGAAACUUGGAGUAAUAUCCCAUAGGAUCAUAGAGUGGCAUCACUUAGUGAUUAAAGAUUUAUCGCUUGAAGAUGGCUGUGCGGCUGAUUAGGUAGUUGUUGUAGGUAACGGCUCACCAAGCCUUCGAUCAGUAACUGGUGUGAGAGCACGACCAGUCACACGGGCACUGAGACACGGGCCCGACUCCUACGGGAGGCAGCAGUGGGGAAUUUUGGACAAUGGACGCAAGUCUGAUCCAGCCAUGCCGCGUGCGGGAAGAAGGUCCUAUGGAUUGUAAACUGCUUUUAUACAGGAAGAAACACCUCUACGUGUAGAGACUUGACGGUACUGUAUGAAUA